GUUUGCACUUGUCGGGGAAGGGUGAGAACCUUCGAUUAAGGUUCGACUCGAGCGAAAGAACGUUGCCAACGGCAACGGCCCGUAGGGUGAGGAGCGAAGCGACGAAUAAUCCUUCCCCCACCACCA
RNAcentral lists this small RNA (126 nucleotides) under Salmonella enterica subsp. enterica serovar Typhimurium. RNAcentral describes it as "RtT sRNA". It matches the Rfam family "RtT RNA". From Rfam's summary of the family: This family represents a bacterial cis-regulatory element known as RtT RNA. The exact function of RtT is unknown although it is thought that it may be involved in changing the cellular response in relation to amino acid starvation. RNAcentral also lists the same sequence under 1 other name. Lineage: Bacteria; Pseudomonadati; Pseudomonadota; Gammaproteobacteria; Enterobacterales; Enterobacteriaceae. The record is from RNAcentral.